UUUCUAAAUAAAUGCGACAAGUGAAUUACUAGUAGCAGAUUGCUUCAGCGCAUACAAACUUCUAGCUGUUGGUUUUUUUGUUUUAUUCAAAAUUUUGUUUUCUUUUAGCAUAUUCUUAAACAAUUUUCUCACCGACUCAUUCUCAUACAUUGUCAAUUACGACAAUUAGAAGACAGAAUAAGAGUUCUGCUAUAAUCUUUGCUUAUUAUCCAUUUCUAUCUAAACAUAGGUAUAAAUGGGUAAACCUCAUUUUUCACUCUCCCACUACAUUUUAGUUCCUCACCUUUUAGGUUAUAUAACUUCUAGCUCC
Molecule: long non-coding RNA, 310 nt
Filed under: Manihot esculenta (cassava)
Lineage: Eukaryota; Viridiplantae; Streptophyta; Magnoliopsida; Malpighiales; Euphorbiaceae
Description: long non-coding RNA (MESC_LNC004375)
Source: RNAcentral